RNAcentral lists this ribosomal RNA (500 nucleotides) under uncultured bacterium. RNAcentral describes it as "partial 16S ribosomal RNA". It matches the Rfam family "Bacterial small subunit ribosomal RNA", at positions 30 to 523 of the family's 1533-position model. The record is from RNAcentral.
AUUGAACGCUGGCGGCAUGCUUUACACAUGCAAGUCGAACGGUAACAGGGUGCUUGCACCGCUGACGAGUGGCGAACGGGUGAGUAAUACAUCGGAAUGUACCCAGUAAUGGGGGAUAACGCUUCGAAAGGAGUGCUAAUACCGCAUACGCCCUGAGGGGGAAAGUGGGGGACCGCAAGGCCUCACGUUAUGGGAGGAGACGAUGGCUGAUUAGCUAGUUGGUGAGGUAAAGGCUCACCAAGGCGACGAUCAGUAGCGGGUCUUAGAGGACGAUCCGCCACACUGGAACUGAGACACGGUCCAGACUCCUACGGGAGGCAGCAGUUGGGAAUCUUGGACAAUGGGCGAAAGCCUGAUCCAGCAAUGCCGCGUGCGUGAAGAAGGCCUUCGGGUUGUAAAGCGCUUUUGUCUGGGAGCAAAUCCUGGCCUCUAAUACAGGUCGGGGAUGAGAGUACCAGAAGAAUAAGGACCGGCUAACUACGUGCCAGCAGCCGCCGUAA